UUGCAUGGCGGGUGCUAUACAUGCAGUCGAGCGGACUUCUUCGGAGGUUAGCGGCGGACGGGUGAGUAACACGUGGGCAACCUGCCUGUAAGACUGGGAUAACUCCGGGAAACCGGAGCUAAUACCGGAUAGUAUCUUGAACCGCAUGGUUCAAGUUGGAAAGACGGUUUCGGCUGUCACUUACAGAUGGGCCCGCGGCGCAUUAGCUAGUUGGUGAGGUAAUGGCUCACCAAGGCAACGAUGCGUAGCCGACCUGAGAGGGUGAUCGGCCACACUGGGACUGAGACACGGCCCAGACUCCUACGGGAGGCAGCAGUAGGGAAUCUUCCGCAAUGGACGAAAGUCUGACGGAGCAACGCCGCGUGAGUGAUGAAGGUUUUCGGAUCGUAAAACUCUGUUGUUAGGGAAGAACAAGUGCGAGAGUAACUGCUCGCACCUUGACGGUACCUAACCAGAAAGCCACGGCUAACUACGUGCCAGCAGCCGCGGUAAUACGUAGGUGGCAAGCGUUGUCCGGAAUUAUUGGGCGUAAAGCGCGCGCAGGCGGUUUCUUAAGUCUGAUGUGAAAGCCCCCGGCUCAACCGGGGAGGGUCAUUGGAAACUGGGAAACUUGAGUGCAGAAGAGGAGAGUGGAAUUCCACGUGUAGCGGUGAAAUGCGUAGAGAUGUGGAGGAACACCAGUGGCGAAGGCGACUCUCUGGUCUGUAACUGACGCUGAGGCGCGAAAGCGUGGGGAGCGAACAGGAUUAGAUACCCUGGUAGUCCACGCCGUAAACGAUGAGUGCUAAGUGUUAGAGGGUUUCCGCCCUUUAGUGCUGCAGCUAACGCAUUAAGCACUCCGCCUGGGGAGUACGGUCGCAAGACUGAAACUCAAAGGAAUUGACGGGGGCCCGCACAAGCGGUGGAGCAUGUGGUUUAAUUCGAAGCAACGCGAAGAACCUUACCAGGUCUUGACAUCCUUUGCCACUUCUAGAGAUAGAAAGUUCCCCUUCGGGGGACAAAGUGACAGUGUGCAUGGUGUCGUCAGCUCGUGUCGUGAGAUGUUGGGUUAAGUCCCGCAACGAGCGCAACCCUUUGAUCUUAGUUUGCCAG
RNAcentral lists this ribosomal RNA (1092 nucleotides) under Metabacillus idriensis. RNAcentral's name for it is "bacterial SSU rRNA". It matches the Rfam family "Bacterial small subunit ribosomal RNA", at positions 37 to 1121 of the family's 1533-position model. The record is from RNAcentral. Lineage: Bacteria; Bacillati; Bacillota; Bacilli; Caryophanales; Bacillaceae.